AUUGAACGCUGGCGGCAUGCCUUACACAUGCAAGUCGAACGGUAACAGGUCUUCGGAUGCUGACGAGUGGCGAACGGGUGAGUAAUACAUCGGAACGUGCCUAGUAGUGGGGGAUAACUACUCGAAAGAGUGGCUAAUACCGCAUGAGAUCUACGGAUGAAAGCAGGGGACCGCAAGACCUUGUGCUACUAGAGCGGCCGAUGGCAGAUUAGGUAGUUGGUGGGAUAAAAGCUUACCAAGCCGACGAUCUGUAGCUGGUCUGAGAGGACGAUCAGCCACACUGGGACUGAGACACGGCCCAGACUCCUACGGGAGGCAGCAGUGGGGAAUUUUGGACAAUGGGCGAAAGCCUGAUCCAGCAAUGCCGCGUGCAGGAUGAAGGCCUUCGGGUUGUAAACUGCUUUUGUACGGAACGAGAAGCCCCGGGUUAAUACCCUGGGGUCAUGACGGUACCGUAAGAAUAAGCACCGGCUAAUUACGUGCCAGCCGCCGCCGUAA
This 498-nucleotide ribosomal RNA is filed under the name uncultured bacterium. RNAcentral's name for it is "partial 16S ribosomal RNA". It matches the Rfam family "Bacterial small subunit ribosomal RNA", at positions 30 to 523 of the family's 1533-position model. The record is from RNAcentral.